This 1075-nucleotide ribosomal RNA is filed under the name Klebsiella sp. d81(2009). RNAcentral describes it as "bacterial SSU rRNA". It matches the Rfam family "Bacterial small subunit ribosomal RNA", at positions 425 to 1478 of the family's 1533-position model. Lineage: Bacteria; Pseudomonadati; Pseudomonadota; Gammaproteobacteria; Enterobacterales; Enterobacteriaceae. The record is from RNAcentral.
UUAAAGCUACUUUUUAGGCAGGGAUGAAGGCCGUUAGUUUAAUUCCCUCAUCGUUUGACGUUACCCCGAAAAAGAAGCACAGUUUAUUUCGUGGCCAGCAGGCUGUGAGUAAUACGGAGGGUGCAAGCGUUAAUCGGAAUUACUGGGCGUAACGCGCACCGCAGGCGGUCCUGUCCAAGUAGAAUUGUGAAAAUCCCCGAGCUCACACCUGGGAAUUGCAUUCGAAACUGGCAGGCCUAGAGUCUGUAGAGGGGGGUAGAAAUUCCAGGUGUAGCGGUGAAAAUGUGUAGAGAUCUGGAGGAAUACCGGUGGCGAAGGCGGCCCCCUGGACAAAGACUGACGCUCAGGUGCGAAAGCGUGGGGAGCAAACAGGAUUAGAUACCCUGGUAGUCCACGCCGUAAACGAUGUCGAUUUGGAGGUUGUGCCCUUGAGGCGUGGCUUCCGGAGCUAACGCGUUAAAUCGACCGCCUGGGGAGUACGGCCGCAAGGUUAAAACUCAAAUGAAUUGACGGGGGCCCGCACAAGCGGUGGAGCAUGUGGUUUAAUUCGAUGCAACGCGAAGAACCUUACCUGGUCUUGACAUCCACAGAACUUUCCAGAGAUGGAUUGGUGCCUUCGGGAACUGUGAGACAGGUGCUGCAUGGCUGUCGUCAGCUCGUGUUGUGAAAUGUUGGGUUAAGUCCCGCAACGAGCGCAACCCUUAUCCUUUGUUGCCAGCGGUCCGGCCGGGAACUCAAAGGAGACUGCCAGUGAUAAACUGGAGGAAGGUGGGGAUGACGUCAAGUCAUCAUGGCCCUUACGACCAGGGCUACACACGUGCUACAAUGGCAUAUACAAAGAGAAGCGACCUCGCGAGAGCAAGCGGACCUCAUAAAGUAUGUCGUAGUCCGGAUUGGAGUCUGCAACUCGACUCCAUGAAGUCGGAAUCGCUAGUAAUCGUAGAUCAGAAUGCUACGGUGAAUACGUUCCCGGGCCUUGUACACACCGCCCGUCACACCAUGGGAGUGGGUUGCAAAAGAAGUAGGUAGCUUAACCUUCGGGAGGGCGCUUACCACUUUGGAUCAGACCGCCUAU